RNAcentral lists this long non-coding RNA (11454 nucleotides) under Zea mays. Its description in RNAcentral is "long non-coding RNA (ZMAY_LNC000227)". Lineage: Eukaryota; Viridiplantae; Streptophyta; Magnoliopsida; Poales; Poaceae. The record is from RNAcentral.
CCAGAGAGGGCACAUGUGCCUCAAUUGGCCUAUAGCAUAGCGACUCAUUAUCCUUCCACCGCUGGUGGCGGGCGGUACUCGCUGCUCUGUGAAGCCAACCUCACGCAAUGUCCGCCACUUUAGGUGUUGGGAUGCAAAGGCUUUCGCCAAGGCAUCCGAAACCCACUACACAACUUGGAAUGGGUGGUCCACAGUUUGUAGCACUAGACCCAGGCACAUGCACCACAAUUAACAUUCACACUACCUUAUUGCCCCCGCUCGGGUUACAAGCAAUCGCUACUUGCUCAGCGAGUGAGGGGGUUCAAGACUACCUAUUUAAGGUGGUGUUGUACUGUAUGAGCCGGCGGUGUGGUAUUUACCAACUACAAAUAGUGUCAUGCAUGUGACUUGCUAGUUGACAAUGUCUGUUGUCGAGCUAGAUGUGGGCUAUGGAUGAAGCACAUUAGGAUAUAGUAGGCCUAUUUUGUUUUUUGUUGUUUUUGGGACACUAUGGACUUUAUGUUGAUGUUGUGAAAUUUUUUCUUGUGUUUCCUUUUCCUACGAUGUGGAAAGUGGGUGCGUCAGAGAAGAAAGAAAGAGUGGCUAGCAUUGAUUUUACGUCAUACCGUUGAGAACACUAAUCAGAAGCAGAAGCAACAAUAUUUCAUACAUAUACAACACUUGUAAUCCAUAUAAACAACUUUCCUUUAAAAUAUAAGAUAAACCACAUGAUUUAUAUCCUGGGUCGGCUAUCUCCACAAAGGGCAAGAAAACGCUCCAAGUUUGUAGUAUAGAACUAAAAGUGUCGAUUCUCACGAUUUCUUCCCGACAUAUACAAACUAGACAGUAAUCACAUAAAAUAAAGAAAUAUGUGUUAACAAGAACUUAUACCAUGUAUUUCAACAUAUAGAUUGUUGAUUAUUAUGGUAGAUUAUAUAAAAUAGGGGUUCCCGAAGCAAUACAUAAAAACAAGAGCAUUAAAAUUUCCUUUUCAGAUUUGGCUAUCUGGUAAAAGGAGUUGGAGUAACUGAGUUUCCAAAUUUGUGCCGUAGCUCUAUAGAAGGAAUAUAAAUACGUUGGAAAAAUUCUAUAAGGAAAGGUUUAAUACAAGUAGGGCUAAGAAAAACUCAAUGAGGCUUUGGUCGCAUGGUCACAAAACUUGAGACAAGAAACACGAAGACACCAAGGUAAUUAGUAUGAGAGUUUUCCAAAUUUGGUGUCUUGAUGUAGAAAAAUAAAUAUAUGAAAAACUUGUUUUUUCGCAAGGCAUGGAUAAAUAAGUGGGGGUGAGCAAUAAAUUUCAUCCUUGAUUUAGAAGGAAUAAAUAUAUCACUAAAUACGUUUUUUCACAAUGCCAAGUUAAUCAGGUGGGACCGAGAAACAAUUCUAGCGAGGCUAGGUUGUACUAGCCCAAAACUACAUACUACAGAGGAAAAAUGAAGAAAAUGAUGGUCUACCAAAUAUGGCGCAUGAGCCUUAAGGUGCACCUAGAGGGAAGUAGAAGAAAUAAAUAUAUAAUAGCAUAUGUUUUUCGCAAUGCAAGGUAAAGUGUAGAUGUGCUCUAACUAGGCUUAGAUUGCAGCGACACAUUAUGCAUCUACAAGGCUUGGUUGCACAUGGAAAAAGAUAGAGAGAGAAAUGUAGACGCAGGACCGAGAGAAAAACAUUCAAUGAGACGUGAUUGCACGGACAUAGAACUAGAUAUAAGACAAGAGUUAAAGAAAAAUAAAGGAACUAAAUUUUCUUCUGCACACUAAGCAUGAAUGGAGUUGUAGUAUCUGAGAUCAAAAUUUAAUUUAUUCCAAGAUGCAGAACAAAAACGUGAUACUCGUAAUGGUUACAUAGGAACAAAAGUAGAUAAGAAAAAUAGCAAAAAGAUAGUGGUCUACCAGAGAGGGCACAUGUGCCUCAAUUGGCCUAUAGCAUAGCGACUCAUUAUCCUUCCACCGCUGGUGGCGGGCGGUACUCGCUGCUCUGUGAAGCCAGCCUCACGCAAUGUCCGCCACUUUAGGUGUUGGGAUGCAAAGGCUUUCGCCAAGGCAUCCGAAACCCACUACACAACUUGGAAUGGGUGUUCCACAAUUUGUAGCACUAGACCCAGGCACAUGCACCACAAUUGACAUCCACACUACCUUAUUGCCUCCGCUCGGGUUACAAGCAAUCGCUACUUGCUCAGCGAGUGAGGGGGUUCAAGACUACCUAUUUGAGGUGGUGUUGUACUCUAUGAGCCGGCGGUGUGGUAUUUACCAACUACAAAUAGUGUCAUGCAUGUGACUUGCUAGUUGACAAUGUCUGUUGUCGAGCUAGAUGUGGGCUAUGGAUGAAGCACAUUAGGAUAUAGUAGGCCUAUUUUGUUUUUUGUUGUUUUUGGGCCACUAUGGACUUUAUGUUGAUGUUGUGAAAUUUUUUCUUGUGUUUCCUCUUCAUACGAUGUGGAAAGUGGGUGCCGUCAGAGAAGAAAGAAAGAGCGGCUAGCAUUGAUUUUACGUCAUACCAUUGAGAACACUAAUUAGAAGCAGAAGCAACAAUAUUUCAUACAUAUACAACACUUGUAAUCCAUAUAAACAACAUUCCUUUAAAAUAUAAUAUAAACCACAUGAUUUAUAUCCUGGGUCAGCUAUCUCCACAAAGGGCAAGAAAACGCUCCAAGUUUGUAGUAUAGAACUAAAAGUGUCGAUUCUCACGAUUUCUUCCCGACAUAUACAAACUAGACAGUAAUCACAUAAAAUAAAGAAAUAUGUGUUAACACGAACUUAUAACAUGUAUUUCAACAUAUAGAUUGUUGAUUAUUAUGGUAGAUUAUAUAAAAUAGGGGUUCCCGAAGAAAUACAUAAAAACAAGAGCAUUAAAAUUUCCUUUUCAGAUCUGGCUAUCUGGUAAAAGGAGUUGGAGUAACUGAGUUUCCAAAUUUGUGACGUAGCUCUAUAGAAGGAAUAUAAAUACGUUGGAAAAAUUCUACAAGGAAAGGUUUAAUACAAGUAGGGCUAAGAAAAACUCAAUGAGGCUUUGGUCGCAUGGUCACAAAACUUGAGACAAGAAACACGAAGACACCAAGGUAAUUAGUAUGAGAGUUUUCCAAAUUUGGUGUCUUGAUGUAGAAAAAAUAAAUAUAUGACAAACUUGUUUUUUCGCAAGGCAUGGAUAAAUAAGUGGGGGCGAGCAAUAAAUUUCAUCCUAGAUUUAGAAGGAAUAAAUAUAUCACUAAAUACGUUUUUUCAUAAUGCCAAGUUAAUCAGGUGGGAGCGAGAAACAAUUCUAGCGAGGUUAGGUUGUACUAGCCCAAAACUACAUACAACAGAGGAAAAAUGAAGAAAAUGAUGGUCUACCAAAUAUGGCGCAUGAGCCUUAAGGUGCACGUAGAGGGAAGUAUAAGAAAUAAAUAUAUAAUAGCAUAUGUUUUUCGCAAUGCAAGGUAAAGUGUAGAUGUGCUCUAACUGGGCUUAGAUUGCAGCGACACAUUAUGCAUCUACAAGGCUUGGUUGCACAUGGAAAAAGAUAGAGAGAGAAAUGUAGACACAGGACCGGGAGAAAAACAUUCAAUGAGACAUGAUUGCACGGACAUAGAACUAGAUAUAAGACAAGAGUUAAAGAAAAAUAAAGGAACUAAAUUUUCUUCUACACACUCAGCAUGAAUGGAGUUGUAGUAUCUGAGAUCAAAAUUUAAUUUAUUCCAAGAUGCAGAACAAAAACGUGAUACUCGUAAUGGUUACAUAGGAACAAAAGUAGAUAAGAAAAAUAGCAAAAAGAUAGUGGUCUACCAGAGAGGGCACAUGUGCCUCAAUUGGCCUAUAGCAUAGCGACUCAUUAUCCUUCCACCGCUGGUGGCGGGCGGUACUCGCUGCUCUGUGAAGCCAGCCUCACGCAAUGUCCGCCACUUUAGGUGUUGGGAUGCAAAGGCUUUCGCCAAGGCAUCCGAAACCCACUACACAACUUGGAAUGGGUGUUCCACAGUUUGUAGCACUAGACCAUGGCACAUGCACCACAAUUGACAUCCACACUACCUUAUUGCCCCCGCUCGGGUUACAAGCAAUCACUACUUGCUCAUCAAGUGAGGGGGUUCAAGACUACCUAUUUAAGGUGGUGUUGUACUCUAUGAGCCGACGGUGUGGUAUUUACCAACUACAAAUAGUGUCAUGCAUGUGACUUGCUAGUUGACAAUGUCUGUUGUCGAGCUAGAUGUGGGCUAUGGAUGAAGCACAUUAGGAUAUAGUAGGCCUAUUUUGUUUUUUGUUGUUUUUGGGCCACUAUGGACUUUAUGUUGACGUUGUGAAAUUUUUUCUUGUGUUUCCUCUUCCUACGAUGUGGAAAGUGGGUGCCGUCAGAGAAGAAAGAAAGAGUGGCUAGCAUUGAUUUUACGUCAUACCAUUGAGAACACUAAUCAGAAGCAGAAGCAACAAUAUUUCAUACAUAUACAACACUUGUAAUCCAUAUAAACAACUUUCCUUUAAAAUAUAAUAUAAACCACAUGAUUUAUAUCCUGGGUCGGCUAUCUCCACAAAGGGCAAGAAAACGCUCCAAGUUUGUAGUAUAGAACUAAAAGUGUCGAUUCUCACGAUUUCUUCCCGACAUAUACAAACUAGACAGUAAUCACAUAAAAUAAAGAAAUAUGUGUUAACACGAACAUAUAGCAUGUAUUUCAACAUAUAGAUUGUUGAUUAUUAUGGUAGAUUAUAUAAAAUAGGGGUUCCCGAAGAAAUACAUAAAAACAAGAGCAUUGAAAUUUCCUUUUCAGAUCUGGCUAUCUGGUAAAAGGAGUUGGAGUAACUGAGUUUCCAAAUUUGUGACGUAGCUCUAUAGAAGGAAUAUAAAUACGUUGGAAAAAUUCUACAAGGAAAGGUUUAAUACAAGUAGGGCUAAGAAAAACUCAAUGAGGCUUUGGUCGCAUGGUCACAAAACUUGAGACAAGAAACACGAAGACACCAAGGUAAUUAGUAUGAGAGUUUUCCAAAUUUGGUGUCUUGAUGUAGAAAAAAUAAAUAUAUGACAAACUUGUUUUUUCGCAAGGCAUGGAUAAAUAAGUGGGGGCGAGCAAUAAAUUUCAUCCUAGAUUUAGAAGGAAUAAAUAUAUCACUAAAUACGUUUUUUCAUAAUGCCAAGUUAAUCAGGUGGGAGCGAGAAACAAUUCUAGCGAGGCUAGGUUGUACUAGCCCAAAACUACAUACAACAGAGGAAAAAUGAAGAAAAUGAUGGUCUACCAAAUAUGGCGCAUGAGCCUUAAGGUGCACCUAGAGGGAAGUAGAAGAAAUAAAUAUAUAAUAGCAUAUGUUUUUCGCAAUGCAAGGUAAAGUGUAGAUGUGCUCUAACUGGGCUUAGAUUGCAGCGACACAUUAUGCAUCUACAAGGCUUGGUUGCACAUGGAAAAAGAUAGAGAGAGAAAUGUAGACACAGGACCGGGAGAAAAACAUUCAAUGAGACAUGAUUGCACGGACAUAGAACUAGAUAUAAGACAAGAGUUAAAGAAAAAUAAAGGAACUAAAUUUUCUUCUGCACACUCAGCAUGAAUGGAGUUGUAGUAUCUGAGAUCAAAAUUUAAUUUAUUCCAAGAUGCAGAACAAAAACGUGAUACUCGUAAUGGUUACAUAGGAACAAAAGUAGAUAAGAAAAAUAGCAAAAAGAUAGUGGUCUACCAGAGAGGGCACAUGUGCCUCAAUUGGCCUAUAGCAUAGCGACUCAUUAUCCUUCCACCGCUGGUGGCGGGCGGUACUCGCUGCUCUGUGAAGCCAGCCUCACGCAAUGUCCGCCACUUUAGGUGUUGGGAUGCAAAGGCUUUCGCCAAGGCAUCCGAAACCCACUACACAACUUGGAAUGGGUGGUCCAAAGUUUGUAGCACUAGACCCAGGCACAUGCACCACAAUUGACAUCCACACUACCUUAUUGCCCCCGCUCGGGUUACAAGCAAUCGCUACUUGCUCAGCGAGUGAGGGGGUUCAACACUACCUAUUUAAGGUGGUGUUGUACUCUAUAAGCCGGCGGUGUGGUAUUUACCAACUACAAAUAGUGUCAUGCAUGUGACUUGCUAGUUGACAAUGUCUGUUGUCGAGCUAGAUGUGGGCUAUGGAUGAAGCACAUUAUGAUAUAGUAGGCCUAUUUUGUUUUUUGUUGUUUUUGGGCCACUAUGGACUUUAUGUUGAUGUUGUGAAAUUUUUUCUUGUGUUUCCUCUUCCUACGAUGUGUAAAGUGGGUGUGUUAGAGAAGAAAGAAAGAGUGGCUAGCAUUGAUUUUACGUCAUACCAUUGAGAACACUAAUCAGAAGCAGAAGCAACAAUAUUUCAUACAUAUACAACACUUGUAAUCCAUAUAAACAACUUUCCUUUAAAAUAUAAUAUAAACCACAUGAUUUAUAUCCUGGGUCGGCUAUCUCCACAAAGGGCAAGAAAACGCUCCAAGUUUGUAGUAUAGAACUAAAAGUGUCGAUUCUCACGAUUUCUUCCCGACAUAUACAAACUAGACAGUAAUCACAUAAAAUAAAGAAAUAUGUGUUAACACGAACUUAUAGCAUGUAUUUCAACAUAUAGAUUGUUGAUUAUUAUGGUAGAUUAUAUAAAAUAGGGGUUCCCAAAGAAAUACAUAAAACAAGAGCAUUAAAAUUUCCUUUUCAGAUCUGGCUAUCUGGUAAAAGGAGUUGGAGUAACUGAGUUUCCAAAUUUGUGACGUAGCUCUAUAGAAGGAAUAUAAAUACGUUGGAAAAAUUCUACAAGGAAAGGUUUAAUACAAGUAGGGCUAAGAAAAACUCAAUGAGGCUUUGGUCGCAUGGUCACAAAACUUGAGACAAGAAACACGAAGACACAAAGGUAAUUAGUAUGAGAGUUUUCCAAAUUUGGUGUCUUGAUGUAGAAAAAAUAAAUAUAUGACAAACUUGUUUUUUCGCAAGGCAUGGAUAAAUAAGUGGGGGUGAGCAAUAAAUUUCAACCUAGAUUUAGAAGGAAUAAAUAUAUCACUAAAUACAUUUUUUACAAUGCCAAGUUAAUCAGGUAGGAGCGAGAAACAAUUCUAGCGAGGCUAGGUUGUACUAGCCCAAAACUACAUACAAAAGAGGAAAAAUGAAGAAAAUGAUGGUCUACCAAAUAUGGCACAUGAGCCUUAAGGUGCACCUAGAGGGAAGUAGAAGAAUAAAUAUAUAAUAGCAUAUGUUUUUCGCAAUGCAAGGUAAAGUGUAGAUGUGCUCUAACUGGGCUUAGAUUGCAGCGACACAUUAUGCAUCUACAAGGCUUGGUUGCACAUGGAAAAAGAUAGAGAGAGAAAUGUAGACGCAGGACCGGGAGAAAAACAUUCAAUGAGACGUGAUUGCACGGACAUAGAACUAGAUAUAAGACAAGAGUUAAAGAAAAAAGGAACUAAAUUUUCUUGUGCACACUAAGCAUGAAUGGAGUUGUAGUAUCUGAGAUCAAAAUUUAAUUUAUUCCAAGAUGCAGAACAAAAACGUGAUACUCGUAAUGGUUACAUAGGAACAAAAGUAGAUAAGAAAAAUAGCAAAAAGAUAUUGGUCUACCAGAGAGGGCACAUGUGCCUCAAUUGGCCUAUAGCAUAGUGGCUCAUUAUCCUUCAACCGCUGGUGGCGGGCGGUACUCGCUGCUCUGUGAAGCCAGCCUCACGCAAUGUCCGCCACUUUAGGUGUUGGGAUGCAAAGGCUUUCGCCAAGGCAUCCGAAACCCACUACACAACUUGGAAUGGGUGGUCCACAGUUUGUAGCACUAGACCCAGGCACAUGCACCACAAUUGACAUUCACACUACCUUAUUGCCCCCGCUCGGGUUACAAGCAAUCGCUACUUGCUCAGCGAGUGAGGGGGGUUCAAGACUACCUAUUUAAGGUGGUGUUGUACUGUAUGAGCCGGCGGUGUGGUAUUUACCAACUACAAAUAGUGUCAUGCAUGUGACUUGCUAGUUGACAAUGUCUGUUGUGGAGCUAGAUGUGGGCUAUGGAUGAAGCACAUUAGGAUAUAGUAGGCCUAUUUUGUUUUUUGUUAUUUUUGGGCCACUAUGGACUUUAUGUUGAUGUUGUGAAUUUUUUUCUUGUGUUUCCUCUUCCUACGAUGUGGAAAGUGGGUGCGUCAGAGAAGAAAGAAAGAGUGGCUAGCAUUGAUUUUACGUCAUACCAUUGAGAACACUAAUCAGAAGCAGAAGCAACAAUAUUUCAUACAUAUACAACACUUGUAAUCCAUAUAAACAACUUUCCUUUCAAAUAUAAUAUAAACCACAUGAUUUAUAUCCUGGGUCGGCUAUCUCCACAAAGGGCAAGAAAACGCUCCAAGUUUGUAGUAUAGAACUAAAAGUGUCGACUCUCACGAUUUCUUCCCGACAUAUGCAAACUAGACAGUAAUCACAUAAAAUAAAGAAAUAUGUGUUAACACAAACUUAUAACAUGUAUUUCAACAUAUAGAUUUUUGAUUAUUAUGGUAGAUUAUAUAAUAUAGGGGUUCCCGAAGAAAUACAUAAAAAACAAGAGCAUUAAAAUUUCCUUUUCAGAUCUGGCUAACUGGUAAAGGGAGUUGGAGUAUCUGUGUUUCCAAAUUUGGGACGUCGCUCUAUAGAAGGAAUAUAAAUACAUUGGAAAAAAAUUCUACAAGGAAAGGUUUAAUACAAGUAGGGCUAAGAAAAACUCAAUGAGGCUUUGGUCGCAUGGUCACAAAACUUGAGACAAGAAACACGAAGACACCAAGGUAAUUAGUAUGAGAGUUUUCCAAAUUUGGUGUCUUGAUGUAGAAAAAAUAAAUAUAUGACAAACUUGUUUUUUCGCAAGGCAUGGAUAAAUAAGUGGGGGUGAGCAAUAAAUUUCAUCCUAGAUUUAGAAGGAAUAAAUAUAUCACUAAAUACGUUUUUUCAUAAUGCCAAGUUAAUCAGGUGGGAGCGAGAAACAAUUCUAGCGAGGCUAGGUUGUACUAGCCCAAAACUACAUACAACAGAGGAAAAAUGAAGAAAAUGAUGGUCUACCAAAUAUGGCGCAUGAGCCUUAAGGUGCACCUAGAGGGAAGUAGAAGAAAUAAAUAUAUAAUAGCAUAUGUUUUUCUCAAUGCAAGGUAAAGUGUAGAUGUGCUCUAACUGGGCUUAGAUUGCAGCGACACAUUAUGCAUCUACAAGGCUUGGUUGCACAUGGAAAAAGAUAGAGAGAGAAAUGUAGACACAGGACGGGGAGAAAAACAUUCAAUGAGACAUGAUUGCACGGACAUAGAACUAGAUAUAAGACAAGAGUUAAAGAAAAAUAAAGGAACUAAAUUUUCUUCUGCACACUCAGCAUGAAUGGAGUUGUAGUAUCUGAGAUCAAAAUUUAAUUUAUUCCAAGAUGCAGAACAAAAACGUGAUACUCGUAAUGGUUACAUAGGAACAAAAGUAGAUAAGAAAAAUAGCAAAAAGAUAGUGGUCUACCAGAGAGGGCACAUGUGCCUCAAUUGGCCUAUAGCAUAGCGACUCAUUAUCCUUCCACCGCUGGUGGCGGGCGGUACUCGCUGCUCUGUGAAGCCAGCCUCACGCAAUGUCCGCCACUUUAGGUGUUGGGAUGCAAAGGCUUUCGCCAAGGCAUCCGAAACCCACUACACAACUUGGAAUGGGUGGUCCACAGUUUGUAGCACUAGACCCAGGCACAUGCACCACAAUUGACAUCCACACUACCUUAUUGCCCCCGCUCGGGUUACAAGCAAUCGCUACUUGCUCAGCGAGUGAGGGGGUUCAAGACUACCUAUUUAAGGUGGUGUUGUACUCUAUAAGCCGGCGGUGUGGUAUUUACCAACUACAAAUAGUGUCAUGCAUGUGACUUGCUAGUUGACAAUGUCUGUUGUCGAGCUAGAUGUGGGCUACGGAUGAAGCACAUUAUGAUAUAGUAGGCCUAUUUUGUUUUUUGUUGUUUUUGGGCCACUAUGGACUUUAUGUUGAUGUUGUGAAAUUUUUUCUUGUGUUUCCUCUUCCUACGAUGUGGAAAGUGGGUGUGUUAGAGAAGAAAGAAAGAGUGGCUAGCAUUGAUUUUACGUCAUACCAUUGAGAACACUAAUCAGAAGCAGAAGCAACAAUAUUUCAUACAUAUACAACACUUGUAAUCCAUAUAAACAACUUUCCUUUAAAAUAUAAUAUAAACCACAUGAUUUAUAUCCUGGGUCGGCUAUCUCCACAAAGGGCAAGAAAACGCUCCAAGUUUGUAGUAUAGAACUAAAAGUGUCGAUUCUCACGAUUUCUUCCCGACAUAUACAAACUAGACAGUAAUCACAUAAAAUAAAGAAAUAUGUGUUAACACAAACUUAUAGCAUGUAUUUCAACAUAUAGAUUGUUGAUUAUUAUGGUAGAUUAUAUAAAAUAGAGGUUCCCGAAGAAAUACAUAAAAACAAGAGCAUUAAAAUUUCCAUUUCAGAUCUGGCUAUCUGGUAAAAGGAGUUGGAGUAACUGAGUUUCCAAAUUUGUGACGUAGCUCUAUAGAAGGAAUAUAAAUACGUUGGAAAAAUUCUACAAGGAAAGGUUUAAUACAAGUAGGGCUAAGAAAAACUCAAUGAGGCUUUGGUCGCAUGGUCACAAAACUUGAGACAAGAAACACGAAGACACCAAGGUAAUUAGUAUGAGAGUUUUCCAAAUUUGGUGUCUUGAUGUAGAAAAAAUAAAUAUAUGACAAACUUGUUUUUUCGCAAGGCAUGGAUAAAUAAGUGGGGGCGAGCAAUAAAUUUCAUCCUAGAUUUAGAAGGAAUAAAUAUAUCACUAAAUACGUUUUUUCAUAAUGCCAAGUUCAUCAGGUGGGAGCGAGAAACAAUUCUAGCGAGGUUAGGUUGUACUAGCCCAAAACUACAUACAACAGAGGAAAAAUGAAGAAAAUGAUGGUCUACCAAAUAUGGCGCAUGGGCCUUAAGGUGCACCUAGAGGGAAGUAUAAGAAAUAAAUAUAUAAUAGCCUAUGUUUUUCGCAAUGCAAGGUAAAGUGUAGAUGUGCUCUAACUGGGCUUAGAUUGCAGCGACACAUUAUGCAUCUACAAGGCUUGGUUGCACAUGGAAAAAGAUAGAGAGAGAAAUGUAGACACAGGACGGGGAGAAAAACAUUCAAUGAGACAUGAUUGCACGGACAUAGAACUAGAUAUAAGACAAGAGUUAAAGAAAAAUAAAGGAACUAAAUUUUCUUCUGCACACUCAGCAUGAAUGGAGUUGUAGUAUCUGAGAUCAAAAUUUAAUUUAUUCCAAGAUGCAGAACAAAAACGUGAUACUCGUAAUGGUUACAUAGGAACAAAAGUAGAUAAGAAAAAUAGCAAAAAGAUAGUGGUCUACCAGAGAGGGCACAUGUGCCUCAAUUGGCCUAUAGCAUAGCGACUCAUUAUCCUUCCACCGCUGGUGGCAGGCGGUACUCGCUGCUCUGUGAAGCCAGCCUCACGCAAUGUCCGCCACUUUAGGUGUUGGGAUGCAAAGGCUUUCGCCAAGGCAUCCGAAACCCACUACGCAACUUGGAAUGGGUGGUCCACAGUUUGUAGCACUAGACCCAGGCACAUGCACCACAAUUGACAUCCACACUACCUU